AGAGUUUGAUCAUGGCUCAGAUUGAACGCUGGCGGCAGGCCUAACACAUGCAAGUCGAACGGUAACAGGAAGAAGCUUGCUUCUUUGCUGACGAGUGGCGGACGGGUGAGUAAUGUCUGGGAAACUGCCUGAUGGAGGGGGAUAACUACUGGAAACGGUAGCUAAUACCGCAUAACGUCGCAAGACCAAAGAGGGGGACCUUCGGGCCUCUUGCCAUCGGAUGUGCCCAGAUGGGAUUAGCUAGUAGGUGGGGUAACGGCUCACCUAGGUGACGAUCCCUAGCUGGUCUGAGAGGAUGACCAGCCACACUGGAACUGAGACACGGUCCAGACUCCUACGGGAGGCAGCAGUGGGGAAUAUUGCACAAUGGGCGCAAGCCUGAUGCAGCCAUGCCGCGUGUAUGAAGAAGGCCUUCGGGUUGUAAAGUACUUUCAGCGGGGAGGAAGGGAGUGAAGUUAAUACCUUUGCUCAUUGACGUUACCCGCAGAAGAAGCACCGGCUAACUCCGUGCCAGCAGCCGCGGUAGUACGGAGGGUGCAAGCGUUAAUCGGAAUUACUGGGCGUAAAGCGCACGCAGGCGGUUUGUUAAGUCAGAUGUGAAAUCCCCGGGCUCAACCUGGGAACUGCAUCUGAUACUGGCAAGCUUGAGUCUCGUAGAGGGGGGUAGAAUUCCAGGUGUAGCGGUGAAAUGCGUAGAGAUCUGGAGGAAUACCGGUGGCGAAGGCGGCCCCCUGGACGAAGACUGACGCUCAGGUGCGAAAGCGUGGGGAGCAAACAGGAUUAGAUACCCUGGUAGUCCACGCCGUAAACGAUGUCGACUUGGAGGUUGUGCCCUUGAGGCGUGGCUUCCGGAGCUAACGCGUUAAGUCGACCGCCUGGGGAGUACGGCCGCAAGGUUAAAACUCAAAUGAAUUGACGGGGGCCCGCACAAGCGGUGGAGCACGUGGUUUAAUUCGAUGCAACGCGAAGAACCUUACCUGGUCUUGACAUCCACGGAAGUUUUCAGAGAUGAGAAUGUGCCUUCGGGAACCGUGAGACAGGUGCUGCAUGGCUGUCGUCAGCUCGUGUUGUGAAAUGUUGGGUUAAGUCCCGCAACGAGCGCAACCCUUAUCCUUUGUUGCCAGCGGUCCGGCCGGGAACUCAAAGGAGACUGCCAGUGAUAAACUGGAGGAAGGUGGGGAUGACGUCAAGUCAUCAUGGCCCUUACGACCAGGGCUACACACGUGCUACAAUGGCGCAUACAAAGAGAAGCGACCUCGCGAGAGCAAGCGGACCUCAUAAAGUGCGUCGUAGUCCGGAUUGGAGUCUGCAACUCGACUCCAUGAAGUCGGAAUCGCUAGUAAUCGUGGAUCAGAAUGCCACGGUGAAUACGUUCCCGGGCCUUGUACACACCGCCCGUCACACCAUGGGAGUGGGUUGCAAAAGAAGUAGGUAUCUUAACCUUCGGGAGGGCGCUUACCACUUUGUGAUUCAUGACUGGGGUGAAGUCGUAACAAGGUA
This 1500-nucleotide ribosomal RNA is filed under the name metagenome. RNAcentral's name for it is "bacterial SSU rRNA". It matches the Rfam family "Bacterial small subunit ribosomal RNA". The record is from RNAcentral.